GACGAACCGUGCGAACGUUGUUCGGAAUCACUGGGCUUAAAGGGCGCGUAGGCGGGUCUUCAAGUCCGGGGUGAAAUCCUCCAGCUCAACUGGAGAAGUGCCUCGGAUACUGGCUGCCUCGAGGAGGGUAGGGGCAUCUGGAACUAGCGGUGGAGCGGUGAAAUGCGUUGAUAUCGCUAGGAACUCCGGUGGCGAAGGCGAGGUGCUGGACCCUUUCUGACGCUGAGGCGCGAAAGCCAGGGGAGCGAACGGG
This 253-nucleotide ribosomal RNA is filed under the name uncultured bacterium. RNAcentral's name for it is "partial 16S ribosomal RNA". It matches the Rfam family "Bacterial small subunit ribosomal RNA", at positions 524 to 776 of the family's 1533-position model. The record is from RNAcentral.